AGUGAACGCUGGCGGUAGGCCUAACACAUGCAAGUCGAACGGCAGCACAGUAAGAGCUUGCUCUUACGGGUGGCGAGUGGCGGACGGGUGAGGAAUACAUCGGAAUCUACUUUUUCGUGGGGGAUAACGUAGGGAAACUUACGCUAAUACCGCAUACGACCUACGGGUGAAAGCAGGGGAUCUUCGGACCUUGCGCGAUUGAAUGAGCCGAUGUCGGAUUAGCUAGUUGGCGGGGUAAAGGCCCACCAAGGCGUCGAUCCGUAGCUGGUCUGAGAGGAUGAUCAGCCAGACUGGAAGUGAGACACGGUCCAGACUCCUACGGGAGGCAGCAGUGGGGAAUAUUGGACAAGGGGCGCAAGCCUGAUCCAGCCAUACCGCGUGGGUGAAGAAGGCCUUCGGGUUGUAAAGCCCUUUUGUUGGGAAAGAAAAGCAGCAGGUUAAUACCCCGCUGUUCUGACGGUACCCAAAGAAUAAGCACCGGCUAACUUCGUG
This 492-nucleotide ribosomal RNA is filed under the name uncultured bacterium. RNAcentral's name for it is "partial 16S ribosomal RNA". It matches the Rfam family "Bacterial small subunit ribosomal RNA", at positions 29 to 507 of the family's 1533-position model. The record is from RNAcentral.